RNAcentral lists this ribosomal RNA (441 nucleotides) under uncultured bacterium. RNAcentral's name for it is "partial 16S ribosomal RNA". It matches the Rfam family "Bacterial small subunit ribosomal RNA", at positions 338 to 795 of the family's 1533-position model. The record is from RNAcentral.
CCUACGGGAGGCAGCAGUGGGGAAUAUUGCACAAUGGGGGAAACCCUGAUGCAGCGACGCCGCGUGAGUGAAGAAGUAUUUCGGUAUGUAAAGCUCUAUCAGCAGGGAAGAAGAAAGACGGUACCUGACUAAGAAGCCCCGGCUAACUACGUGCCAGCAGCCGAGGUAAAACGUAGGGGGCAAGCGUUAUCCGGAUUUACUUGGGGUAAAGGGAGCGUAGGCGGCUGUGCAAGUCUGAAGGGAAAGCCCAGGGCUUAACCCUGGGAUUGCUUUGGAAACUGUGUAGCUAGAGUGCUGGAGAGGUAAGUGGAAUUCCUAAAGUAGCGGUGAAAUGCGUAGAUAUUAGGAGGAACACCAGUGGCGAAGGCGGCUUACUGGACAGUAACUGACGUUGAGGCUCGAAAGCGUGGGGAGCAAACAGGAUUAGACACCCGUGUAGUC